UCAUGCCUACAGACGGAGAGAGAGAGAGAGAGAGACCAGAUCUUGAAGGGCACCCACCCGCCUUAGAUCUGCGAGUUUAAGCUCUCGAGGUUGGCGACAAUGGCGAAACUGGAACCGUUGGACGAGCCCAGCAAGACCAAGAGCAAGAAGAGGAACCACGGUUCCACGAGCUUCUUCGUCUUCGUGGAUUACCUCUUCCUUUUCAUCUUCUUCGGCUUCCUCUGCUUCAUCAUCUUCAAAAUGGUCGGCUUCUGAGCUUCCCGAUCCUUUUGCAUUUCAUCACGGAGAGCAAGGAAUUCGGUGGAUCUUUCCCCUGUAACCGGUUUUGAAGAUGCGAUACAUCAGCACUUGCUUCGGUGAAUAAUCAGAGAUGACAUACAUCUACCUUUUUUGUCUUGCUUUCAAGCAAAUCCAUUUUGCCGAUCCUCUGGAUACUUGAAACUUCAUGGCCCUGUAUUAGUACCUUCUUGAUUCUUUAUUGAUUACUCUCGCCUCUCUGUCCAUAUGCUUCAAGUGCUGAGGACGAGAAUCUCUUUCUAUGCUGGAUACCUUACCAUGUAAUAUCUCUCGGACUAUCACUAUCAGCAUAGAAUUGCUUAAUGGAAAGAAAAUUGAAUUGCA
Molecule: non-coding RNA, 621 nt
Organism: Punica granatum (pomegranate)
Lineage: Eukaryota; Viridiplantae; Streptophyta; Magnoliopsida; Myrtales; Lythraceae
Source: RefSeq, a predicted model, not a curated record